AGUUCUUCCCAGCUUCAUUUGCGGCUGCCCAGGGAAUAAUUCCAGGGAUAUAGUAAUGUCUGGUGUCUGGACGGUCUCCAUGGGAUUAAAAAAGUAGCUGGUUUGCAUUUCGGAGACAAAACAACCCUGCAGCACGGAGUCAAACACUGCUUCUUCGCGGGAGAUGCGUCCUGUCAGGUGAACACCAGCAAAUCAAAACCCAAUUCAGCAGAGGGAUGAUUUUCGCCUUCCGGAAGAUGAAAUCACGAAAGCUCAGAGACGGCGCGCACUCCGUAGAAAGCCCAAAUCAAAUUAUUCUGUGGCCUGUGUAGAUUUCCUGUGCCUGGCACCCAGCUGCCUGCAUACAGGAAGUGCUCAUUACAGGCACAGCAGCAGAUGUCAGCCCCAAAGUGUCCAUUUUACUAGCUGGUGUUUCAGCAUCUGUCACGGGGAUCAACAAAGCAUGACAGCCGCCAAUGUGCCUCCGUGUGGACUUUUGUGAUGCUGUAUUUUCUCUUGAGAGGGGCCCCUGAUUCUGGACAGAAUGCACUGGGUAAGUCUUUACGACUUCGUAGCCCCAGGCUCCUGGCCCAGGCAGGAUGAGGAAAGGAUGCUGCCCCAGGAUCGCCCGAAACGUUUGGUUUGUUUUGUGUGGCUGGACGUGGCCGAGUCCCUGCGGCCCCAGCAGCUCUCAGGCUUCCCUGCCCGGCUGCUGCCUCAGGGCUGCGCUGAGCUCAGGCCAGAGCAGCUUCCAGGGCCUCAUUUCAGUUGUUUUUAUCAUCUAUGAGUUAUCCAGUGUUUCCAAUAAAUCACAUUCCAGGGCAAGCAGUGCAGAGAUGUGGGCCCUUAUUUCCUCUCCCAGGCUGAUAACAAUGAACAAGUGAUUUCCUGUCCAAAGCUGGGUACUCCAGCGAAAUAAGAAGUCCUAUCUCCAGGAAAAUAACACUGUCUCUCUCUCAGCCCCAACUCCAGCACACCAAGCAUGGACCGUCUCUGGCCCUUGGGCAAGCUGGAGCAGCCUUUCAUUUCCUCUCUGCCUAUUCAUGCACGCCCCACCCAUCUCCCAGUCCAGGCUGUGAUCCUCACCACCCAGCAAGCAGGCGAGGCAGGGCUAGGAACCCAUUUUACAGGUGAGAAAAGUGAGUUUGCCAGACAUUAAGUGACAUGGCCAGGGUCUCACCGGCAGUAAGUGGACAGGGCCAGGCCAGGUCGUCUCUGUGUUCCUAGGAGACCCUGUGAUGACCACUCAGCCCCCUCUGCUGCUGCUGGUUGAGGUGAGAGGUGCUUAUAACUCAGAGAUCUUUGUCAUUUGGGUUCUAAAAGCAAACUCCACCUUGUGACGCGCACCCCAAUCCGCCAGCAGCUUCAGAAGCAGCAUCUACCUGUAAGCUGCGCGGUCUCCCUCUCCCAUCUCAACAACCUUCCUGUGUGCGGCUUCCCUCUCGGAUCUGCACAACCCCCUUGUUGAGAAGAGGCAGCAGGAGCAGUGUGGGCGGUCAUUGCCCUAUUUUACAGAUGAAGAGUCAGGGCAUUUAAACAAUUUGGUAUGGAUCUAUACAUAAGAGGGUGGAAGAGGCCAGAGGAGACCUAGACCUACUUAUCUAAAACCCAGUCACUGAUGCUGGGACACAGAACUGUCCUUCCUCGUCUGCCCCCUCCCUGCUCACGCUGUAUUGGUGGAGACCUUGUCUCUCUUGGUGCCGUGGGAACAGCGCUGGGCCCACCCAUCAAGGGCUCCCUGGAAGCGUGCUGAGCGUGUGGCAUGAGGAAAGAGUCACCAGCCACCCACGUUGCCUCCACACUGGGUGUCAUUGUGACCUUAGCAGACAACAGGGUCCUCCCGAGGAGAGAACACAGUAGGCACACUGGAUGUGGGGAGAGGGUCCAAAAGCCCCAAGCAGGGGGCAGGUCUGGGCAGAGGAGAAGGCGCUGUGUCUGUGGUGGCACUGGAUGCCUCGGAAGGAUAGCUGUGAUUAGAACACGUGUGUAAAGCGCCUGUCAUGGCAGCGUCCUUCUCCUGGCGGCAAGUCUUCACUUGCAAAACAAGUCCUUUUAGGAACAGGCUUUGUGACAGCUGCUGCUAUCCAGUCAUCUUUAGAGCCCUGGAGUCCUCGCCAAGGGCACGGGCUCCCUUUGUGGUCCUGGAAUAAUGGGGCCUGCCUGGCACUCUCAGAUUGCGUGGGGAUCCGCUGGACUUAGGGUUCUACUGAUGAAUUCAUUUAACUUUGACCUGGGAAGAAAAGUCAUAAAUUCACAUCCAUGAACAGGAGGAGAAGAAGGGGAACUGCUAUAGAGACUGCACAGUGAUGACCCCUGCAUGCAUUUUUCAGUCAACAAGAGCAUCUCGUGACUUCUGAUCACGGUUCCAAGGUCUGUGGGUGCCACGUUUUUUGAGUUUACCGAGACCACAGAUUGGAGACUUCGAAGUGCCCUCCAGGUCCAAGCAGCAGGCCCACCUCGCUGCAGAGACAGGGUCUACAGGAGGGUGUCAUUUUAGUCAGAACGGCAGAGCCAUGGAUAACACUCAGUCCUAUUAUGGAGCUGGACCCGGAACCCAGAAACUCAGAAAAGUUAAGUGAUUUGUGAGUAACAUCCACAUGGAGCCGCUGGAACUGAACUCAAAUACAGGUUUAACCUUGGCAUUAGCUAAGUGACUGCUGUGGUUUGGAUAAGAUAUUUUUGUCCCCACCAAAUCUCAUGCUGAAAUGGGACCCCAGUGUGGCAGUGUUGGGAGAUGGUCCUGGUGGGAGGUGUUUGGGUCAUGGGGGCAGAGCCGUUGUGAAGAGCUUCAUGCCAUUGUUCUAUUAGCAGAGAGUGAGUUCUUGCUCUCUCAAGACUGGAUUGGUUCUUGGGGGGAUGGAUUAGUUCCCGAGAGUGGGUUGUGAUAAAGCCCAGACACCCCUCAUAUUUAGUCCUUCUUGGCACCUUCCCACCGCCCAUUUGACCUUCUCCACCAUGUUUUGACACAGCAUGAAAGCCCGCACCAGAAGCCGAGCAGAUGCCAGCAUCAGGCUUCUUGUACAGCCUGCAGAUUCAUGGGCUAAAUAAACCUCCUUUCUUUAUAAAUUACCCAGGCUCAGGUAUUCCUUCAUAGCAACACAGAGGGACUAAGCAGUGGCCUAGAGCAAGCCAUAUAGAUUCAUUUAGCUUCAGCCUCUGCAGCUGUAAUGUGGGCCUAAUAAGAGUGCAGAAGUUAAAGGACUGUGCAAGAUUCAGAGAGAAUACAUGUAUGCCACCCAACCUACAGUGGCACGGGGUGGACUCUCAAUAAAUGGGAAUCACUACUGAAACACUGUAUACUACUACUAUUCUCGUUGCCUAAGGUAUUUUAGUUACCUAUACUUAUUAGUUUUGCAAUGAACAAUAUACCAAUUUGUUCAGAUCAGAAUCAUCCUUGGGUGAAAGACGGUUGGGAAACAGGAUAUUGACAUGUUCUUAGUGUAUUUCCCCUCAAGUCACUUAUUAUUUACAAGGAGAAAAUAACACCUUUAACUUAGAGAUAUCUGGUGGUUAUCACCUUAACUGAGUGAUAAAACUUACAUCCCCAGUAAUGGGACAGUCUUCUACGUACUUCCUAAAGGGAUAUGUGGAAAAAGAUAUGAUGUUGCUUGUAUAGUGUUCUUGCCAAAAAUAGUUAGCCUGAAUUGAAUUGUGAGAAAGCAAUCGAAGUCCAACAAUGAGAGAUCCUGCAAAACAACUGGCCCAGGCUUCCGAAGUGUUAGAAUAAAGGAAGGCAAAGAAAGGUAGUGAAAUUAUCUUAGAUUAAAGGAUGCCAAAGAGGUAUGAUAAUAAACGCAGUACAGGGGACUUUGGAAAAUUAGGACAUGGACUGAAUAUUAAAUAAUAUCUCCAUGUCAAUGUUAUGUUUUCUGAGUAUAAUAAGGGCAUUUGGUUAUACAGGAGCGUGUCCUUGUUUGAAGAAGAUACAUACUGAAGUAUUUAGGAGUAAGAGUCAUGAUACAUGAAACUCCUUUUCAAAUGGUUCAGCCAAAAGGAGUGUGUGUGUGUAUACAACAUGUAGAGAGAGUUGUUUAAAGCAGAUGGGGUAAGAAAGGUAAGAUUACAUACGGUUCUGAUAUGAUACCAAUUAUAUUUGUGAUAUAACU
This 4085-nucleotide long non-coding RNA is filed under the name Homo sapiens (human). Its description in RNAcentral is "HSALNT0299893". Lineage: Eukaryota; Metazoa; Chordata; Mammalia; Primates; Hominidae. The record is from RNAcentral.